UGGGGAAUAUUGGACAAUGGAGGGAACUCUGAUCCAGCAAUUCUGUGUGUGUGAAGAAGGUUUUAGGACUGUAAAACACUUUUAGUAGGGAAGAAAAAAAUGACGGUACCUACAGAAGAAGCAACGGCUAAAUACGUGCCAGCAGCCGCGGUAAUACGUAUGUUGCGAGCGUUAUCCGGAAUUAUUGGGCUUAAAGGGCAUCUAGGCGGUAAGACAAGUUGAAGGUGAAAACCUGUGGCUCAACCAUAGGCUUGCCUACAAAACUGUUGAACUAGAGUACUGGAAAGGUGGGUGGAACUACACGAGUAGAGGUGAAAUUCGUAGAUAUGUGUAGGAAUGCCGAUGAUGAAGAUAACUCACUGGACAGAAACUGACGCUGAAGUGCGAAAGCUAGGGGAGCAAACAGG
Molecule: ribosomal RNA, 407 nt
Filed under: Verrucomicrobiota bacterium
Lineage: Bacteria; Pseudomonadati; Verrucomicrobiota
Also listed under: 1 other name
Description: Verrucomicrobia bacterium partial 16S ribosomal RNA
Rfam family: Bacterial small subunit ribosomal RNA
Source: RNAcentral